Non-coding RNA from Oryzias latipes (Japanese medaka), 69 nucleotides. NCBI's taxonomy places the organism in Eukaryota, Metazoa, Chordata, Actinopteri, Beloniformes, Adrianichthyidae. The record is from Rfam.
CAGAUGACCUUAACAUAGGCACUGACUUGAAUAUCUUUGCAGUAAGUGCUACAUGUUGGGGUAGUCUUG